AGUGAACGCUGGCGGUAGGCCUAACACAUGCAAGUCGAACGGCAGCACAGUAAGAGCUUGCUCUUACGGGUGGCGAGUGGCGGACGGGUGAGGAAUACAUCGGAAUCUACUUUUUCGUGGGGGAUAACGUAGGGAAACUUACGCUAAUACCGCAUACGACCUACGGGUGAAAGCAGGGGAUCUUCGGACCUUGCGCGAUUGAAUGAGCCGAUGUCGGAUUAGCUAGUUGGCGGGGUAAAGGCCCACCAAGGCGACGAUCCGUAGCUGGUCUGAGAGGAUGAUCAGCCACACUGGAACUGAGACAAGGUCCCGACUCCUACGGGAGGCAGCAGUGGGGAAUAUUGGACAAUGGGCGCAAGCCUGAUCCAGCCAUACCGCGUGGGUGAAGAAGGCCUUCGGGUUGUAAAGCCCUUUUGUUGGGAAAGAAAAGCAGCAGGUUAAUACCCCGCUGUUCUGACGGUACCCAAAGAAUAAGCACCGGCUAACUUCGUG
RNAcentral lists this ribosomal RNA (492 nucleotides) under uncultured bacterium. Its description in RNAcentral is "partial 16S ribosomal RNA". It matches the Rfam family "Bacterial small subunit ribosomal RNA", at positions 29 to 507 of the family's 1533-position model. The record is from RNAcentral.